RNAcentral lists this ribosomal RNA (619 nucleotides) under uncultured bacterium. Its description in RNAcentral is "bacterial SSU rRNA". It matches the Rfam family "Bacterial small subunit ribosomal RNA", at positions 875 to 1503 of the family's 1533-position model. The record is from RNAcentral.
GGGGAGUACGCCGGCAACGGUGAAACUCAAAGGAAUUGACGGGGGCCCGCACAAGCGGAGGAACAUGUGGUUUAAUUCGAUGAUACGCGAGGAACCUUACCCGGGCUCAAACGACACAGGAAUACUUUUGAAAGGAGGUAGCUCUUCGGAGCCUGUGUCGAGGUGCUGCAUGGUUGUCGUCAGCUCGUGCCGUGAGGUGUCGGCUUAAGUGCCAUAACGAGCGCAACCCCCAUCGCCAGUUACCAGCAAGUCAAGUUGGGGACUCUGGCGAGACUGCCGGCGCAAGCUGUGAGGAAGGCGGGGAUGACGUCAAAUCAGCACGGCCCUUACGUCCGGGGCGACACACGUGUUACAAUGGCAGGUACAGAGAGAAGCAAUGCGGCGACGCAAAGCGGAACUUGAAAGCCUGUCUCAGUUCGGAUUGGAGUCUGCAACUCGACUCCAUGAAGCUGGAUUCGCUAGUAAUCGCGCAUCAGCCAUGGCGCGGUGAAUACGUUCCCGGGCCUUGUACACACCGCCCGUCAAGCCAUGGAAGCCGGGAGUGCCUGAAGUGUGCAACCGCAAGGAGCGCCCUAAGGUAAAACUGGUGACUGGGGCUAAGUCGUAACAAGGUAGCCGU